GACGAACGCUGGCGGCGUGCUUAACACAUGCAAGUCGAACGGUAAGGCCCUUCGGGGUACACGAGUGGCGAACGGGUGAGUAACACGUGGGUGAUCUGCCCUGCACUUCGGGAUAAGCCUGGGAAACUGGGUCUAAUACCGGAUAGGACCACUGCCUGCAUGGGUGGUGGUGGAAAGCUUUUGCGGUGUGGGAUGGGCCCGCGGCCUAUCAGGUUGUUGGUGGGGUGAUGGCCUACCAAGGCGACGACGGGUAGCCGGCCUGAGAGGGUGACCGGCCACACUGGGACUGAGAUACGGCCCAGACUCCUACGGGAGGCAGCAGUGGGGAAUAUUGCACAAUGGGCGCAGGCCUGAUGCAGCGACGCCGCGUGAGGGAUGACGGCCUUCGGGUUGUAAACCUCUUUCAGCACCGACGAAGCGCAAGUGACGGUAGGUGCAGAAGAAGGACCGGCCAACUACGUGCCAGCAGCCGCGGUAA
RNAcentral lists this ribosomal RNA (478 nucleotides) under uncultured bacterium. RNAcentral's name for it is "partial 16S ribosomal RNA". It matches the Rfam family "Bacterial small subunit ribosomal RNA", at positions 28 to 523 of the family's 1533-position model. The record is from RNAcentral.